AGUGAACGCUGGCGGUAGGCCUAACACAUGCAAGUCGAACGGCAGCACAGUAAGAGCUUGCUCUUACGGGUGGCGAGUGGCGGACGGGUGAGGAAUACAUCGGAAUCUACUUUUUCGUGGGGGAUAACGUAGGGAAACUUACGCUAAUACCGCAUACGACCUACGGGUGAAAGCAGGGGAUCUUCGGACCUUGCGCGAUUGAAUGAGCCGAUGUCGGAUUAGCUAGUUGGCGGGGUAAAGGCCCACCAAGGCGACGAUCCGUAGCUGGUCUGAGAGGAUGAUCAGCCACACUGGAACUGAGACACGGUCCAGACUCCUACGGGAGGCAGCAGUGGGGAAUAUUGGACAAUGGGCGCAAGCCUGAUCCAGCCAUACCGCGUGGGUGAAGAAGGCCUUCGGGUUGUAAAGCCCUCUUGUUGGGAAAGUAAAGCAGCAGGUUAAUACCCCGCUGUUCUGACGGUACCCAAAGAAUAAGCACCGGCUAACUUCGUG
RNAcentral lists this ribosomal RNA (492 nucleotides) under uncultured bacterium. Its description in RNAcentral is "partial 16S ribosomal RNA". It matches the Rfam family "Bacterial small subunit ribosomal RNA", at positions 29 to 507 of the family's 1533-position model. The record is from RNAcentral.